This 415-nucleotide ribosomal RNA is filed under the name uncultured bacterium. RNAcentral's name for it is "bacterial SSU rRNA". It matches the Rfam family "Bacterial small subunit ribosomal RNA", at positions 402 to 809 of the family's 1533-position model. The record is from RNAcentral.
UGCAGGAAGAAGGCCUUCGGGUUGUAAACUGCUUUUGUACGGAACGAAACGGCUCUGGUUAAUACCCGUGGGGGAUGACGGUACCGGAAGAAUAAGCACCGGCUAACUACGUGCCAGCAGCCGCGGUAAUACGUAGGGUGCAAGCGUUAAUCGGAAUUACUGGGCGUAAAGCGUGCGCAGGCGGUUCGCUAAGACAGAUGUGAAAUCCCCGGGCUUAACCUGGGAACUGCAUUUGUGACUGGCGGGCUAGAGUAUGGCAGAGGGGGGUAGAAUUCCACGUGUAGCAGUGAAAUGCGUAGAGAUGUGGAGGAAUACCGAUGGCGAAGGCAGCCCCCUGGGCCAAUACUGACGCUCAUGCACGAAAGCGUGGGGAGCAAACAGGAUUAGAUACCCUGGUAGUCCACGCCCUAAACGA